CAACCUCGUCCCCAGGGCCUUUUUUGCAAGGAGGCGAAGGGCAGCAAAGGCCCUGGUAAAGGCUGGUGAAAUAAUCCACAAAUUGUGGAUUAUUUUGUCACGUGAUAUAUCGGAGCAAAUACUAUACAGGGGGGUGCGAUCGCGGAUCGCUUUAGCUACAAUAUAUUCGUCAAUAUUGCAUAAACACCGAAAUCGACAAAUAAAGAACAAAGAUCUAUUUUAAAAUGAAAAAAUCUGUUAAAGUUCUUCCAAAAAUAUUGAAUACAUUUGAAAUUGUCUUCAAAUUAGCUCUGCGAACCUUGGUUGAACUGUAAAGGAGAUCUAUUAAAUAGACAAAGCAACAGUACAAAACGAAUGGAUCGAUAGAAGUAUUUAUACUAUGAUCGAAUUACUGUCGCAAAGAAAUUGCUGCCUCGAUUGUGAAACAGAUAUGUAAAAUCACUUUAAUUUAAUAAUAUGGACUCUCAAUACACCAUAUCCAUGAUCAUCAAAACAUUUAAUAGUUAUUGUUGCAUGCUACAAUAGAUCUUUCUUGCAAAUGUCAAUAUCAUACAGUAUAAAAUGAAAUAAAUUUUUCAAAAUGC
Non-coding RNA from Paramuricea clavata, 584 nucleotides. The record is from the annotation of a GenBank genome assembly. Lineage: Eukaryota; Metazoa; Cnidaria; Anthozoa; Malacalcyonacea; Plexauridae.